RNAcentral lists this ribosomal RNA (459 nucleotides) under uncultured bacterium. Its description in RNAcentral is "partial 16S ribosomal RNA". It matches the Rfam family "Bacterial small subunit ribosomal RNA", at positions 338 to 795 of the family's 1533-position model. The record is from RNAcentral.
CCUACGGGAGGCAGCAGUGAGGAAUAUUGGUCAAUGGACGAGAGUCUGAACCAGCCAAGUAGCGUGAAGGAUGACUGCCCUAUGGGUUGUAAACUUCUUUUAUAUGGGAAUAAAACGUUCCACGUGUCGGCUUUUGUAUGUACCCUAUGAAUAAGGAUCGGCCAACCCCGUGCCCGCAGCCGCGGUAAUACGGAAGGUCCGGUCGUUAACCGGAUUUAUUGGGUUUAACGGGUGCGUAGGCGGAUUUUUAAGUCAGCGGUAAAAUGUCCGGGCUCAACCCGGGCCGGCCGUUGAAACUGGGGAUCUUGAGUGGGCGAGAAGUAUGCGGAAUGCGUGGUGUAGCGGUGAAAUGCAUAGAUAUCACGCAGAACUCCGAUUGCGAAGGCAGCAUACCGGCGCCCGACUGACGCUGAGGCACGAAAGCGUGGGGAUCGAACAGGAUUAGAUACCCUUGUAGUC